GCAAGUAAAUUGGACUCAAGCACUGAGCACCCCAUCUCUCGAAUCCCAACGUGACCCCCCCUCUGUUAAUUUGGCCCCAAAUACCCAAAGGGAAAAGAAGAAAGGAAGGGAAAGGUGCCUUUUACAUAUUCAAUGGGGCACUCUACAGGAUGAAGUCAUCUUGAAAAGGAUAAUUAGACCUCCAAUGGAUUUUCAUUUUAUUUCAUUUUCUUGCCUGCAGUUGACAAGCAGGGAGAUUGUUACUUCCACUGCCGCCAACAGCAAAGCUGCCCGUUUUCUUCUAUUUCUAUAGCGAACUCCUGAAAGAGAGAAGCCUGCUGGUGUAAACUGCUUUGAUGGGAGGAAGCAUCUAAAAUGCAUUUUAAUUUCAAUUUGUGUGAAGCUUUUGUAUCAAAUUACAGAUCUGGGGCACGACGCGGCUCAGUGAAGAAUCCCAUUUUCCAUCAGUUUGGAUGUGUUCGUUAUGUCAUCAAGGGGUAAAAUAAUUAAGGCUGAAAUCCUAUCUCCAUUGGAGACUGUCUGCUGGUGUCUCAUAUCCCAUGUUGAUCAGGUCAGGUGACAGACCAAAAAUUACUAUUCAGAGACCAGCACUGCUCCCUUGGAGGCCCCAGACCAGAAUUCUCCAAGAGCAUUCCCUCCAUAAGUUGUGCAUGUCCAAAUUGCUAUUUCAGUUUCUGCUUCUAGGCAACCCAACUGUAUUGGUUCCUAUCACUGCUGGAACAAAUUACUACAAAUUUAGUAGCUUAAAUGAUGCAAAUUUAUCUUACAUUUCUAGAAGUCAGAAGUCUGACCCAGGUCUCAUUGGGGUAAAUCAAGUUCUCAGCAGGGCUGCAUUCCUGCUUGAAACUCCAGGGGGCAAUCCAUUCCUUGCCUUUUUCAACUCUAAAAGCAGCCUGCAUUCCGUGGCUCUUGGCCUCACAUCACUCUGACCUCUGCCUUUGUCAUCACAUAGCCUACUCUGACCCUCCUCCAGAGACCAGCACUGCCCUCUUGGAGGCCGCGAACCAGCUAAAACUCACCAGCUUGUGAUUACAUUGGACUCAUCUAAAUAAUACAAGAUAACAUCCCCAUUUCAAGAUCCUUCACUUAAUAACAUCUGCAAAGUCCCCUUUGACAUGUAAGGUAACAUACUCACUGGUUCCAGAGAUUAGGAUGUGAAUGACUUCGGGGCAUUGUUCUGCCUUCUGCAUGACCUAAGAGAGUGGUCCUAAGAACCAGACUCAAAGGAAAGGACUCUGGAGUUAGAUCACUGAUUGGCUGCCUGGUAAUGAGGAGCCCAUCACUAGUGGGACAUGGAAUACCAUCAUUCUGGGCAUGUGGGCAUAGUGUGCUUGCUGAGACCGUCACCCAUGGAGACCUGAGACCAGGCACAGGCUCAAGAGGAUGCACAGGCUGUGCAACAUCUCUGGUGUUAGAGGAGUGAGAGAUAUAGUCAUUAUAAGGACUGUGGAAUUGGGUGGCUGUCACUGAAUACCAUGAAAGUUUCCAAGAGAAAAAAAAAUGACAGCCUCAGGGCAAUUACUGAACAAUUUGGAGCAAAUGUGUCCAAGAGCCCCCUUGGCAGUAUUUAUAGAAACUCCAAUCUUCUUGAGCAUGAAAACAGAACUGAAGAACAGACACAGAAUUUAAUUGUAAGAGUGACUGAACUUCAAAGAAGUUCUUAGAUUCUUAACCUAGGUAUAUCUCCUCCAUCAAAGUGAAGGAUCUUGUGGGAAGAAGUGGGACUCUGUGACUUGGGGUAAAGAUACCUAGAAAUAUGUAUUUGAGCUCUUUCAACCCUAAGAUCCCUCUGAGAUCACUGGCCCUCCAGAAGUUUCCCCCUGCUCUUGUUUGAAGAUAGAGCCCCUUCCCUUGCUUGAAGAAUGAGCAAAGCCUCUAAUGAGUGCCUCCACUGGCCAAUGAGAAACUAGAGGGCAAGACAACUCACGGAUGGGUCCAGAGGUGCACAUGAAAGAUGCUCGGCAUAAUGGCUGAGUACAAAUGAAGACAUACAAACAGAAAAAUAAAUCAAGGCUACGAACACCACAAGGAAAAUGACCAUGCCUGACUCAUUCACUAUUAUAUCCCUAUGGGGCCUGGCACAUAAUAAGUGUUCAACUGUGAGCUCUCUGAAAGCACAGGCUGUUUAUUUUGUUCUCUGCUAAAUCCCGGGUAUCCUUGACACCUAGAAGAGGCUCAUAGAUCCUGAGCCCAGAAGAUAGAGAUUUUGUCUUCUGUGACCUUCUUCCAGAUUCCAGCACCUCCUUGAAUGGCUCACAGGGCUGUCAGCAAGUUAAGAGCAAAAAUGACAAAGAGCCAAACUUGCUCAUUAAAAUUCCUAAAUCUCCUACAAAUGUCUUCUGAUGUCAAGCCCAUAAGGUCCCCUCACACCUCUGUGCCCAAAGCUUCUCUUAGUCCUCAGUUAAUUCCUCUAUUUCUUUGUUAACAAUGCCAUCACCACCCACUUAGCUGGCCACCUGAAUCAUGUAACUCCCUCUUUUGUCAAGGGGAGACGAGCCCUUAAAAUUAUUCAUAAAUAAUUUCCAUGGGUUUUAAGCCUACAUUCACCGUUUCAGGCUUGAGUGCAUCUAUUGCCUGUGGGCCCACCUUCAUUGAGUAGAAUGGUAGACUCACUGUGGCAUUUAAAUUACUUUUCUCUUUUUGUAAUUGUGCACCAUUAGAAAUGGGCAUA
Microcebus murinus (gray mouse lemur) is the source of this 2671-nucleotide non-coding RNA. NCBI's taxonomy places the organism in Eukaryota, Metazoa, Chordata, Mammalia, Primates, Cheirogaleidae. The record is from RefSeq and is a predicted model, not a curated record.